UACGUAGGGUGCAAGCGUUGUCCGGAAUUAUUGGGCGUAAAGAGCUCGUAGGCGGUCUGUCGCGUCGGAUGUGAAAAUCCAUGGCUCAACUGUGGACCUGCAUUCGAUACGGGCAGACUAGAGUUCGGUAGGGGAGACGGGAAUUCCUGGUGUAGCGGUGAAAUGCGCAGAUAUCAGGAGGAACACCGAUGGCGAAGGCACGUCUCUGGGCCGAUACUGACGCUGAGGAGCGAAAGCGUGGGGAGCGAACAGG
This 253-nucleotide ribosomal RNA is filed under the name uncultured bacterium. Its description in RNAcentral is "partial 16S ribosomal RNA". It matches the Rfam family "Bacterial small subunit ribosomal RNA", at positions 524 to 776 of the family's 1533-position model. The record is from RNAcentral.